AGAUUGAACGCUGGCGGCAGGCCUAACACGUGCAAGUCGAGCGGUAGAGAGGUGCUUGCACCUCUUGAGAGCGGCGGACGGGUGAGUAAAGCCUAGGAAUCUGCCUGGUAGUGGGGGAUAACGCUCGGAAACGGACGCUAAUACCGCAUACGUCCUACGGGAGAAAGCAGGGGACCUUCGGGCCUUGCGCUAUCAGAUGAGCCUAGGUCGGAUUAGCUAGUUGGUGAGGUAAUGGCUCACCAAGGCGACGAUCCGUAACUGGUCUGAGAGGAUGAUCAGUCACACUGGAACUGAGACACGGUCCAGACUCCUACGGGAGGCAGCAGUGGGGAAUAUUGGACAAUGGGCGAAAGCCUGAUCCAGCCAUGCCGCGUGUGUGAAGAAGGUCUUCGGAUUGUAAAGCACUUUAAGUUGGAGAAGGCAUUAACCUAAUACGUUAGUGUUUUGACGUUACGACAGAAUAAGCACCGGCUAACUCUGUGCCAG
This 486-nucleotide ribosomal RNA is filed under the name uncultured soil bacterium. Its description in RNAcentral is "bacterial SSU rRNA". It matches the Rfam family "Bacterial small subunit ribosomal RNA", at positions 26 to 511 of the family's 1533-position model. The record is from RNAcentral.